UCCAUGGCCUGGGCCGCCGGC
RNAcentral lists this unclassified non-coding RNA (21 nucleotides) under Mus musculus (house mouse). RNAcentral's name for it is "oocyte_clustered_small_RNA10635". The record is from RNAcentral. Lineage: Eukaryota; Metazoa; Chordata; Mammalia; Rodentia; Muridae.